This 885-nucleotide unclassified non-coding RNA is filed under the name Hevea brasiliensis (rubber tree). The record is from RNAcentral. Lineage: Eukaryota; Viridiplantae; Streptophyta; Magnoliopsida; Malpighiales; Euphorbiaceae.
GUCCUUUUUUUUUUUUGGGGAAAAAUACAAAGAUACUGCAUUUAAAAGGCUUGAAGGCCAUCAGCGUACAACAAAACCAACGCCUUAUAAGGCAUGGCACUCGGCCAAGGUAAUUGGAGUUUAUAUCACAUAUGCACCUUAGCGAAACAAUCUGCAACUCUGUUUGCUGUUCUCCUAACUCGAGAGAAAGGUGUUUGAACAAUAGCUGUGCCUAGAGCUCUACUAGAGAAAAUCACAGCUUUCAUGGUGACUGAGGACACUCUCAUAGCUAUAGCUAAUAUGUGAGCCUCCAACAUUGCUAUUGCCUCACCUGUCAAAGGCGCAGCGCAACGUGCUUUUUUCACAGCGCCAUCUACUACUUCUCUAAAGUUUCUGGCCACUAUUGCUAUAGAAUGAACGGACAUUUAUAUAUAGCUCCCGUGCCAAGUUCCAUGGGAAACUUUUGGGUGUUUGAUUCCUCCAUGCAAAAUGCUUGCCCUGGGUCCAUCAUGUGUAAAACAAUUGUCUUCCUGUGAAGGGCCGGCUCUUGCCUGGUACACAAGUAAUUUAAGUACAGGGAUGAUGCUCGUUUCCAAUGAAUGGGAAGCAUAGCUUAUGCUAUUUUGCUGGCCAUCGAUUGUCCUGGUGCUCCCUUUCAAUAAAUGGGAAGAUGAUGAAAUGCCCCAUUCAAGAAGUUAAAUGGUGUUUGGUUGUCAACUGAAGAUUUAAUAUUUAAUCAGUCCGUUUAUAUUAGAGAUGGCAACGAAUCAGAUUUUUGCGGGUACCCGAUCCGAUCGAAUCCUAAUAAGACGAGUUUAGAUAGUAUAUAAUCUAGUUUGGAACGGGUUUGGGUUUAAAAUUUAAUACCCGUGACGGGUUUGGGUUGGGUUCAGGUUUUAUAUGUUG